ACCCGCUGAACUUAAGCAUAUCAAUAAGCGGAGGAAAAGAAACUAACAAGGAUUGCCCUAGUAACGGCGAGUGAAGCGGCAACAGCUCAAAUUUGAAAUCUGGCGUCUUUGGCGUCCGAGUUGUAAUUUGCAGAGGGCGCUUUGGCAUUGGCAGCGGUCCAAGUUCCUUGGAACAGGACGUCACAGAGGGUGAGAAUCCCGUACGUGGUCGCUAGCCUUUACCGUGUAAAGCCCCUUCGACGAGUCGAGUUGUUUGGGAAUGCAGCUCUAAAUGGGAGGUAAAUUUCUUCUAAAGCUAAAUACUGGCCAGAGACCGAUAGCGCACAAGUAGAGUGAUCGAAAGAUGAAAAGCACUUUGGAAAGAGAGUUAAAAAGCACGUGAAAUUGUUGAAAGGGAAGCGCUUGCAGCCAGACUUGCCUGUAGUUGCUCAUCCGGGUUUUUACCCGGUGCACUCUUCUAUAGGCAGGCCAGCAUCAGUUUGGGCGGUUGGAUAAAGGUCUCUGUCAUGUACCUCUCUUCGGGGAGAACUUAUAGGGGAGACGACAUGCAACCAGCCCGGACUGAGGUCCGCGCAUCUGCUAGGAUGCUGGCGUAAUGGCUGU
This 603-nucleotide ribosomal RNA is filed under the name uncultured fungus. RNAcentral describes it as "eukaryotic LSU rRNA". It matches the Rfam family "Eukaryotic large subunit ribosomal RNA", at positions 23 to 641 of the family's 3401-position model. The record is from RNAcentral. Lineage: Eukaryota; Fungi.